UACGGAGGAUCCAAGCGUUAUCCGGAAUCAUUGGGUUUAAAGGGUCCGUAGGCGGGACAAUAAGUCAGUGGUGAAAGUCUGUGGCUCAACCAUAGAAUUGCCAUUGAAACUGUUGUCCUUGAGUAAUUAUGAAGUGGUUAGAAUAUGUAGUGUAGCGGUGAAAUGCAUAGAUAUUACAUAGAAUACCGAUUGCGAAGGCAGAUCACUAAUAAUUCACUGACGCUGAUGGACGAAAGCGUAGGUAGCGAACAGG
This 253-nucleotide ribosomal RNA is filed under the name uncultured Salinimicrobium sp. Its description in RNAcentral is "partial 16S ribosomal RNA". It matches the Rfam family "Bacterial small subunit ribosomal RNA", at positions 524 to 776 of the family's 1533-position model. The record is from RNAcentral. Lineage: Bacteria; Pseudomonadati; Bacteroidota; Flavobacteriia; Flavobacteriales; Flavobacteriaceae.